AUGGGAAGGAGGGCGCGGGGCGCGUCGCGGUUUCCCGUGGUGCCUCGCGGCGAGCGGCGGCAGGAGCGGCCGCGACUCCAUCCGGGUCCCUGCGGCAGACUAACUUGAAGGUCCGGAAGUACCGCCCCCGAACGAUCCUGAUUGGCUGCCACACCGCGCCGCCCGCCUGUGAUAGGCUGCGGAUGCUGUCAGUGCUGGGGAGAUGUGCUUCAUUCCACGCAUGAGUGGGCAGUAGUGACUCCUCAUUUCUUUCAAGCUGUGUUCCUGGAUAUUUAUAUUCCUUCUGUAACGACACGGUCAGAAAAAUAAGUGAAAAUCAAACACAAUAAUCGCAAAUGGAACAAACCAGUAAUAAUUCACGUUAUAAUUACUCAAAAUCGGGAUGCUUUGUAUUAAAGCAAUUCAAUGUAAGUGGGAUGUAGAUUUUUGGGAAAAGGUUGGUAUUUCUGGUGGAGAUGUGAGAUAAAGGUGUUACUGCUGACGCUCAGAGGUAUUAAUCUAGUGGACACUCAGCCCUGCCUGUAUUUAGAGUUAAUGCAUAUCUGUGAUUUGUAUGGUGUGCACAUUUACACUUACUCCAGUGUAUUACUGCUAAAUGGACGGCCGUGUCCAAAUAAAUGCUGAAAAUAACAUACGUACAUACCGAAUAAAUACUAAUAAUACUAUAUUUUAAGGUUUUGGGCAUAAGCAGAUGACUGUUAUUAAGGCUUCUGGCCUUCAUCACCACAUCUUGCUUUCUGGUUAAAGCAUGUUUGCUUUCUUGGAUGGGGCCUGUUUUCACUGUAGGUGAAUUUACUUAGCACAGAGGAAAAAAAGAAACUCAUCUGCUUUAGUCCUAACCAUCACACAUGAUUUUUGUUUGUUUUAAACUUAAAGCUUCGUCUUUUCUGCUGUACUUAAUUUUAUCUACUGAGUUUCUUAAAGUUGAAUUUAAACAUGAGAGUGAAAUGGUCUUCGGUAACAAGCUGUUUACAGAUGGUGGCCUAAUGGUCUUUUUGUAGAAGGACAGACUACAGCAUUACAUACCUUAAAUUGAUGCAUCUGUUUAUCUGCACACCACAUAACAACAGAUGUCA
Coturnix japonica (Japanese quail) is the source of this 1076-nucleotide long non-coding RNA. RefSeq lists it as uncharacterized. The record is from RefSeq and is a predicted model, not a curated record. NCBI's taxonomy places the organism in Eukaryota, Metazoa, Chordata, Aves, Galliformes, Phasianidae.